GUCAAGUCAUCAUGGCCCUUACGCCCAGGGCUACACACGUGCUACAAUGGCGCAUACAGAGUGUUGCGACCUGGUGACAGGAAGCCAAUCACAAAAAGUGCGUCUCAGUUCGGAUUGCAGGCUGCAACUCGCCUGCAUGAAGUUGGAAUCGCUAGUAAUCGCGCAUCAGCAAUGGCGCGGUGAAUACGUUCCCGGACCUU
RNAcentral lists this ribosomal RNA (200 nucleotides) under uncultured organism. RNAcentral describes it as "partial small subunit ribosomal RNA". It matches the Rfam family "Bacterial small subunit ribosomal RNA", at positions 1184 to 1382 of the family's 1533-position model. The record is from RNAcentral.